Molecule: ribosomal RNA, 519 nt
Filed under: uncultured eukaryote
Lineage: Eukaryota
Description: SSU rRNA
Rfam family: Eukaryotic small subunit ribosomal RNA
Source: RNAcentral
AGGGCACCACCAGGAGUGGAGCCUGCGGCUUAAUUUGACUCAACACGGGGAAACUUACCCGGCCUGGACACUGGAAGGAUUGACAGAUUGAGAGCUCUUUCUUGAUUCGGUGGGUGGUGGUGCAUGGCCGUUCUUAGUUGGUGGAGCGAUUUGUCUGGUUAAUUCCGAUAACGAACGAGACUCUAGCCUAUUAAAUAGGCUCUCGGCUUUUAAACGCCGGGAGGACUUCUUAGAGGGACAGGUGGCGGUUCAGCCGCACGAAAGAGAGCAAUAACAGGUCUGUGAUGCCCUUUGUUGUCCGGGGCCGCACGCGCGCUACACUGAAGAGAUCAGCGUGCUUUACGUUCCUGCUCCGACCGGAGUGGGGAACCCAGUGAACCUUCUUCGUGAUUGGGAUAGAAGAUUGUAAUUAUUCUUCUUGAACGAGGAAUUCCCAGUAAAUGCGAGUCAUAAGCUCGCGUUGAUUACGUCCCUGCCCUUUGUACACACCGCCCGUCGCUACUACCGAUUGAACGAUUU